Molecule: ribosomal RNA, 253 nt
Filed under: uncultured bacterium
Lineage: Bacteria
Description: partial 16S ribosomal RNA
Rfam family: Bacterial small subunit ribosomal RNA
Source: RNAcentral
GACGUAGGAGGCAAGCGUUAUCCGGAAUUAUUGGGCGUAAAGGGUACGUAGGCGGCUGGUCAAGUCUGGGGUCAAAGGCCACAGCUCAACUGUGGGAAGGCCCUGGAAACUGACCGGCUAGAGUGAGGUAGGGGUUGCGGGAAUUCCCGGUGUAGCGGUGAAAUGCGUAGAGAUCGGGAAGAACACCUGAGGCGGAAGCGCGCAACUGGGCCUCUACUGACGCUCAGGUCCUAAAGCUAGGGGAGCGUAUGGG